GAUGAACGCUGGCGGCGUGCCUAAUACAUGCAAGUCGAGCGAACAGACGAGGAGCUUGCUCCUCUGACGUUAGCGGCGGACGGGUGAGUAACACGUGGAUAACCUACCUAUAAGACUGGGAUAACUUUGGGAAACCGGAGCUAAUACCGGAUAAUAUAUUGAACCGCAUGGUUCAAUAGUGAAAGACGGUUUUGCUGUCACUUAUAGAUGGAUCCGCGCCGCAUUAGCUAGUUGGUAAGGUAACGGCUUACCAAGGCAACGAUGCGUAGCCGACCUGAGAGGGUGAUCGGCCACACUGGAACUGAGACACGGUCCAGACUCCUACGGGAGGCAGCAGUAGGGAAUCUUCCGCAAUGGGCGAAAGCCUGACGGAGCAACGCCGCGUGAGUGAUGAAGGUCCUCGGAUCGUAAAACUCUGUUAUUAGGGAAGAACAAAUGUGUAAGUAACUAUGCACGUCUUGACGGUACCUAAUCAGAAAGCCACGGCUAACUACGUG
RNAcentral lists this ribosomal RNA (497 nucleotides) under uncultured bacterium. RNAcentral describes it as "partial 16S ribosomal RNA". It matches the Rfam family "Bacterial small subunit ribosomal RNA", at positions 28 to 507 of the family's 1533-position model. The record is from RNAcentral.